GGUGGGGAGUAUGAAGGAGAAAAGGAGGUUUUACAAGAUCCUUCUCUGGUUCACAAAAGUCAGCGACACGGGCGCUUCACUCCAGAACAAAGACACUGCGGCCCAUUCACAAAAGGGAGAAAAAGAGAGAGAGACAGAGAGAGAGGGAGAGAGACAGAGAGAAACAAUAACUGAAAGAGAGAAAAGGAAAAACAUGGAAAGGAAAAGCUUUAACAGGAAAAGAAACUGCGCACAGCGCAGCGCCGAUCCGGGCGGAGACACACCUCAGGCUCGCAGAAGCCCCCGCAGGGAGUAGCAAGCGAGGCCCGCGGCUCGGAGCCCCAGAGAUGGGUGUAGAGGUUUAAAGAAAGAAAUUAAAUACACCCCGCCUUCAUUUCUGGUAAAAAGGCGCGGGCCGGAGCACACUAGUUUGUGCAUGAGACAUUGAGGGAGUCGGGCUGUGGGGGCGCUUCUGCAGAGUCGGCCUCCCUAGCCAGGCACUGCCCUAGCGGGGCCUGCGCACUCUGCCUGGGCCAGCACUCCGGUGCCAGGGUUCGUGCCCUUGUAGUAGUUCCUCAAUCACUCGCACUCCUGCUUCCUCCCGGCCCUGUUUGGCCCGCAGCUGCAUCGCCCGGCCCAGGUCCGGCGCGGUGCGGUGGUGCGGCUGUGCGCGCUGGAAUGUGCUCAGGCGGUCCCCAGGGCCAGCCUCUCGGGAGUCCGGCGCUCUCGGUUCCAGAUGCUGCCACCGUCUCGGGGAAGUUGGGAGCAGGCCCUUUUGAGAUGGUGGAAAGUUUUUCAACUCCAAAUACAGCCCAGUAUCGUGCCCUGCAUUCAAGAGGACCACAUCUUCCUCACGAUAAGUCUGGUGGAUACACAAACUUAUGAAACCAGUGGCAAGUUUUCAUUGCAAGGAAGUAGCAGCAGUGUUUAAGAGUUCGCUCCAAAUGCUCAUCUUCUUCUUCGGCCCUGGAAGUCACACAGGAAAAACAAUUAUUUUCCUUCGUGGAGGGCAGAGCAGCACUCCCGUCUCACCCCGCGUUCCGAGGCCAGCGGGGCCAGUGGGAGGCUGCCCGCCCAGGACCUCCGCUCUGAACUUUCCACAAACUUCCCCGCCCCUCAGCACACAGUAGAGCCUCGACCCCGACCCCACCGCCCACUCACUGCUUCUCCUGCGCGUCCAGGUCUCUGACGAGCGCGUCGCGCUUGUUCACUAGGGCCACAAGCUCAUCCAGCAGGAGUUGCUCACGUCGUUUCUGGGCCUCGGUCUUCUGCCAGUCUGCGGAGGACGGGAGGCUCGUUACCCACCCGCAGAGCCAACGCACACAGGCUCCCGCCCUCCUUGGCCCUCCUUUUCUAGUUUCCUUGUAUUCCUCUGCAAACCGUAUUAUAGAGCCACUAGCUAGUGUUUUAUGGGGAGUUUGGACGUCGUGGUGAAGAUUUCACCCGCCAAACCCAACUCCCUAAAUAUUUCCUACAGAUGGGGACAGCUACGGCUGGGCUGGAACCUGAAAAACAGACCAGGUGUGAGCCGCGGCCAGCCGGAGCUGCGCACCUGAUUUCAGCCAAAAAGGGGAGGGGAGAGGUGGAGGCCCAGAGGCCGUUGGCCUCAGGGUUGGGGUUGGGGUUGAGGGUAAAUGAGGGGGCGGGAAGAAAAGAUGGGAGAAAAAAAUCCUUCUGAAAAGGCUAGAGAAUCUGCCUGGGAACCUACCCUCCUCCCCCACCCUCGUGCUCACCCCAUACAGCCCAUUCUUCGCUAAUUUCCUCUUCGCUCUAUUUUAGCAGUUGGAUGUAUCUCACACUGGGCGCCAUAUGCUUCACAAUAACUUUAAAAGUAGUGAAUCGGCUAAUUAGCAUUUUUCUUUGAAGUAAAAAAUAAAUUUGCUCUGCAAUAUUACACUGCAGCUCUCGA
Long non-coding RNA from Manis pentadactyla (Chinese pangolin), 1888 nucleotides. RefSeq lists it as uncharacterized. The transcript has 3 exons. NCBI's taxonomy places the organism in Eukaryota, Metazoa, Chordata, Mammalia, Pholidota, Manidae. The record is from RefSeq and is a predicted model, not a curated record.